Molecule: ribosomal RNA, 222 nt
Filed under: uncultured bacterium
Lineage: Bacteria
Description: partial 16S ribosomal RNA
Rfam family: Bacterial small subunit ribosomal RNA
Source: RNAcentral
AGCACGUACGUGACCUGCCGAGAAGUGGGGGAUACCGGUCCGAAAGGGCUGCUAAUACCGCAUGUGGUCUCCGGGGGUGCCCGGGGAGUAAAGGAUGCAAGUCCGCUUCUUGAGGGGCGUGCGGCCGAUUAGCUUGUUGGUGGGGUAACGGCCUACCAAGGCGACGAUCGGUAGCUGGGCUGAGAGGCCGAGCAGCCACACUGGGACUGAGAUACGGCCCAG